GAUGAAGAACGCAGCGAAAUGCGAUAAGUAAUGUGAAUCGCAGAAUUCAGUGAAUCAUCGAAUCUUUGAACGCACAUUGCGCCCGCCAGUAUUCUGGCGGGCAUGCCUGUUCGAGCGUCAUUACAACCCUCAGGCCCCCGGGCCUGGCGUUGGGGAUCGGCGGAAGCCCCCUGCGGGCACAACGCCGUCCCCCAAAUACAGUGGCGGUCCCGCCGCAGCUUCCAUUGCGUAGUAGCUAACACCUCGCAACUGGAGAGCGGCGCGGCCACGCUGUAAAACACCCAACUUCUGAAUGUUGACCUCGAAUCAGGUAGGAAUACCCGCUGAACUUAAGCAUAUCAAUAAGCGGAGGA
This 353-nucleotide unclassified non-coding RNA is filed under the name soil metagenome. RNAcentral describes it as "partial contains 5.8S ribosomal RNA, internal transcribed spacer 2, and large subunit ribosomal RNA". The stretch from base 1 to 120 matches the Rfam family "5.8S ribosomal RNA", at positions 35 to 154 of the family's 154-position model. The record is from RNAcentral.